This 260-nucleotide ribosomal RNA is filed under the name uncultured bacterium. RNAcentral's name for it is "partial 16S ribosomal RNA". It matches the Rfam family "Bacterial small subunit ribosomal RNA", at positions 793 to 1055 of the family's 1533-position model. The record is from RNAcentral.
GUCCACACCGUAAACGAUGGAUACUAGGUGUCCGGGCUUUCGGGCCUGGGUGCCCAAGGGAAACCGAUAAGUAUCCCACCUGGGGAGUACGUUCGCAAGGAUGAAACUCAAAGGAAUUGACGGGGGCCCGCACAAGCGGUGGAGCAUGUGGUUUAAUUCGAUGAUACGCGAGGAACCUUACCUGGGCUAGAAUGCCCCUGACAGCCCGUGAAAGCGGGUUUUCCUUCGGGACAGGGUGCAAGGUGCUGCAUGGUUGUCGU